GCUGGGUAUGGUGGCGCAUACUUGUAAUCCCAGUGGCUCGGGAGGCUGAGGCAGGAGGAUUGAGAGUUCAAAGCCAGCCUUAGCGAGGCCUUAAGCAACUCAGGGAGACCUUGUUUCUA
This 119-nucleotide small RNA is filed under the name Marmota monax (woodchuck). The record is from RNAcentral. Lineage: Eukaryota; Metazoa; Chordata; Mammalia; Rodentia; Sciuridae.